Molecule: non-coding RNA, 88 nt
Organism: Mycena latifolia
Lineage: Eukaryota; Fungi; Basidiomycota; Agaricomycetes; Agaricales; Mycenaceae
Source: the annotation of a GenBank genome assembly
GCGGACGUGGUGCACGGCGCACCGCUGCACGUAAUGCCAGAAUUCGAUUUUGACAGCAGCUGCAGGGGUUCGACUCCCCGCGUCCGCA